RNAcentral lists this ribosomal RNA (305 nucleotides) under uncultured bacterium. RNAcentral describes it as "bacterial SSU rRNA". It matches the Rfam family "Bacterial small subunit ribosomal RNA", at positions 500 to 802 of the family's 1533-position model. The record is from RNAcentral.
CCUACGGGGGGCAGCAGCCGCGGUAAUACGUAGGGGGCAAGCGUUAUCCGGAUUUACUGGGUGUAAAGGGGGCGCAGACGGCGAUGCAAGCCAGGAGUGAAAGCCCGGGGCCCAACCCCGGGACUGCUCUUGGAACUGCGUGGCUGGAGUGCAGGAGGGGCAGGCGGAAUUCCUGGUGUAGCGGUGAAAUGCGUAGAUAUCAGGAGGAACACCGGUGGCGAAGGCGGCCUGCUGGACUGCAACUGACGUUGAGGCCCGAAAGCGUGGGGAGCAAACAGGAUUAGAUACCCCUGUAGUCCAGAUCG